AGACGCGAAAGCGUGGGGAGCUAACAGGAUUAGAUACCCUGGUAGUCCACGCCGUAAACGAUGGACACUAGGUGUGGGGGGUGUCGACUCCCUCCGUGCCGAAGCUAACGCAUUAAGUGUCCCGCCUGGGGAGUACGGCCGCAAGGCUAAAACUCAAAGGAAUUGACGGGGGCCCGCACAAGCAGCGGAGCAUGUGGUUUAAUUGGACGCAACGCCAAGAACCUUACCUGGGCUUGACAUGUUCCUGACCGCCCUGGAAACAGGGCUUCCCUUCGGGGCAGGAUCACAGGUGGUGCAUGGCUGUCGUCAGCUCGUGUCGUGAGAUGUUGGGUUAAGUCCCGCAACGAGCGCAACCCUCGUCGCAUGUUGCCAGCAUUUAGUUGGGGACUCAUGCGAGACUGCCGGUGACAAACCGGAGGAAGGCGGGGAUGACGUCAAGUCAUCAUGCCCCUUAUGUCCAGGGCUACACACGUGCUACAUUGGCGCGUACAGAGGGCUGCGAUACCGCGAGGUGGAGCGAAUCCCUCAAAGCGCGUCUCGGUUCGGAUUGCAGGCUGAAACUCGCCUGCAUGAAGGCGGAGUU
Molecule: ribosomal RNA, 583 nt
Filed under: uncultured Actinomycetes bacterium
Lineage: Bacteria; Bacillati; Actinomycetota; Actinomycetes
Description: bacterial SSU rRNA
Rfam family: Bacterial small subunit ribosomal RNA
Source: RNAcentral